Molecule: ribosomal RNA, 498 nt
Filed under: Klebsiella pneumoniae
Lineage: Bacteria; Pseudomonadati; Pseudomonadota; Gammaproteobacteria; Enterobacterales; Enterobacteriaceae
Description: bacterial LSU rRNA
Rfam family: Bacterial large subunit ribosomal RNA
Source: RNAcentral
CCUCCCAAAGCGUAACGGAGGAGCACGAAGGUUAGCUAAUCCUGGUCGGACAUCAGGAGGUUAGUGCAAUGGCAUAAGCUAGCUUGACUGCGAGCGUGACGGCGCGAGCAGGUGCGAAAGCAGGUCAUAGUGAUCCGGUGGUUCUGAAUGGAAGGGCCAUCGCUCAACGGAUAAAAGGUACUCCGGGGAUAACAGGCUGAUACCGCCCAAGAGUUCAUAUCGACGGCGGUGUUUGGCACCUCGAUGUCGGCUCAUCACAUCCUGGGGCUGAAGUAGGUCCCAAGGGUAUGGCUGUUCGCCAUUUAAAGUGGUACGCGAGCUGGGUUUAGAACGUCGUGAGACAGUUCGGUCCCUAUCUGCCGUGGGCGCUGGAGAAUUGAGGGGGCUGCUCCUAGUACGGAGAGGACCGGAGUGGACGCAUCACUGGUGUUCGGGUUGUCAUGCCAAUGGCACUGCCCGGUAGCUAAAUGCGGAAGAGAUAAGUGCUGAAAGCAUCUA